This 253-nucleotide ribosomal RNA is filed under the name uncultured bacterium. Its description in RNAcentral is "partial 16S ribosomal RNA". It matches the Rfam family "Bacterial small subunit ribosomal RNA", at positions 524 to 776 of the family's 1533-position model. The record is from RNAcentral.
UACGUAGGGUGCAAGCGUUGUCCGGAAUUAUUGGGCGUAAAGAGCUCGUAGGCGGUCUGUCACGUCGGAUGUGAAAACUCGGGGCUCAACCCCGAGCCUGCAUACGAUACGGGCAGACUUGAGUUCGGCAGGGGAGACUGGAAUUCCUGGUGUAGCGGUGAAAUGCGCAGAUAUCAGGAGGAACACCUAUUGCGAAGGCAGCUCGCUGGGACGUAACUGACGCUGAGACGCGAAAGCGUGGGGAGCAAACAGG